Molecule: non-coding RNA, 71 nt
Organism: Parelaphostrongylus tenuis
Lineage: Eukaryota; Metazoa; Nematoda; Chromadorea; Rhabditida; Metastrongylidae
Source: the annotation of a GenBank genome assembly
GCUUUCGUGGUGUAGUGGUAGCACGCGCCCCCGUAUGGCUGGAACGCGGGUUUAACUCCCGUCUGAGGUCG